Molecule: long non-coding RNA, 1630 nt
Organism: Amphiprion ocellaris (clown anemonefish)
Lineage: Eukaryota; Metazoa; Chordata; Actinopteri; Pomacentridae
Exons: 3
Source: RefSeq, a predicted model, not a curated record
GAUAUGAAUGAGUAGAUAGGACACGCCCCUUUGAGCUGCGUGCUACAGCGAGGCUAAGCUAGUGGGGGCAAAGUUUCAGUGCAUUCCGUUGAUGUAGACGGCGUGAAAACGGAAACAACAAGUAUGCCGUCUCACUGUGCUGCAUACAGUUACACACUGCGUCGUACGAUUGAGACAAGGAAACUUGGAAUGACUUUUCAUAGGUUUCCCAGAGACUAUGGGUUGAGGAGGAAUUGGAAGUUUGUCGGCUUAGACCUGGUGUCAUUCCAUCAGUGUUAAACUUCCCGGCUCAUCUUGGAAGAGUACGUGCCAGAAAGACCACGACCAAGCAGCCUUGAGAUCUUAGACAGCGUCUCCCUGAGACCAAAGAACUACAGACUCUUCACAACCUGCUCAAACUCUUGGUACAGGACCUCACCACACGGGUCAAGAAGGUUUCCGUCUCAUUUCUACUCUGAAGCUCACCUUCUCCUGCUCAAACUGCUGACAAAUGUUUCUGCUGCUCUAAAGUCUGGUCUCCAGAACUUCCUAAAAACUCUCAAAGUCUCUUCUGCUGCAGGUUGCUUUGUAGAACUGUUGCAGAAAACCUCACUAAACCACAUGGAGGGGCCUCAAGAUAGUCAUCCAAAUGAAACCAUACAAAAACCAAACUAGCACAACCCAAAUGCUAAAGUCUCCUGCAGCCUACCAGAGAACCUCUGAGAACAGAGAAUCAGGACAGGAACUCUUACCUUCUGGACAACCAACGUUGGUUCACAAACAUGAAUACAGAAUGUUUCUGACCAAAAACCUCUGAAGACUCACUACAGCCAAGAUAAAGACACAACUCAGCUGCACCAAAUCCACUAAUCACUGCACACAUUAGCACCAUGUGCUAACUGUGGCUAAAGAACCACAUUUACCAAGACAACUAUCCAGUACAAAACCCUAAAACACACCAAGAAACACAUUAAAGUCUAUUUUACUGCUGGAAGCUGCAAGCCAACGCCUAAAGAACAAACUAAAGCAAUGGAGCCAAACCCAGUUCAGUGGUGAAGAGAAGCAGAGGAAAUGUUUGUCUGCAGCUAAAUAAAGCAGGAAGACACUGAGCUGCUCAGGUGUUCCUGAUAACACCAAGCAGCCACCUGGACAACCAAUAGGAACGCAGCUUACUGGAAGUCCAGAGGGCUGGCUUAGUGAAGGAAAUUUAGUUUAAAGUUGAAGCAGAAAGUUAACAAAGAAAGUUGAAAACCACCUUCUGAUAUCUGAAAUCUCUGAGUUUUCACACAAAGAACACCUGAACAUGUCAAACUGGCUUCAUAGUAGAACCAUCAUUGUAAAAACGUCAUAGUAUGGUGUGUUGCUCCAAAAACAUUAGGACCCGGCUGUCAGGGGACAAACAUGUAAGAACCAUGAGAACAGAGAGAACCCAACCAGUAGGUCACAGUUUAUCAUCCCCCAGUCAUCUCCUGAAGUCCAUAUGGUGAGAGACAUCAGUAUCUGGUUGUUCAUUUACCAGAGGAUGCUUAUAAUCAUGCUGAUGUGGUCUGUACUCUACAGUAUUUUAGUGACUCAAUAAAUGCCUAAGUUGUUUUUUUUAAAUGCUUUUUAGUUUUUAAUAAACAUUUAAGAGCCUAUAUGUAAUCAAUAA